UACGUAGGUGGCAAGCGUUGUCCGGAUUUACUGGGCGUAAAGAGCGCGCAGGCGGUCGUGCAAGUCGCGUGUGAAAGCCCCCGGCUCAACUGGGGAGGGUCACGCGAUACUGCUCGACUCGAAGGCAGGAGAGGGAAAUGGAAUUCCCGGUGUAGUGGUGAAAUGCGUAGAUAUCGGGAGGAACACCAGUGGCGAAGGCGACUUCCUGGCCUGUUCUUGACGCUGAGGCGCGAAAGCUAGGGUAGCAAACGGG
RNAcentral lists this ribosomal RNA (253 nucleotides) under uncultured bacterium. Its description in RNAcentral is "partial 16S ribosomal RNA". It matches the Rfam family "Bacterial small subunit ribosomal RNA", at positions 524 to 776 of the family's 1533-position model. The record is from RNAcentral.